Long non-coding RNA from Diorhabda sublineata, 4645 nucleotides. RefSeq lists it as uncharacterized. The record is from RefSeq and is a predicted model, not a curated record. The transcript is spliced from 6 exons. NCBI's taxonomy places the organism in Eukaryota, Metazoa, Arthropoda, Insecta, Coleoptera, Chrysomelidae.
AAUUUUUCAAUAUUUUGUCUGGACUGAAUGAAUGAAUAUUCUUUCAAAUUAAAUUUUUGUUUAUAAAAAAAGAAAGAACAAACAAUUUUUUAUCAAACUUCACUCCUUUAUAUUAAAUUCUGAUUACCCCCGUAUACGAGUUAAAAAUCAACUCAAAAUAAGUUGGCAACAAAUCGAAAGGAACAAGUAAGAUCAGUUUUUACGAAAUUCCCCAAAAGGAAAAAAAUUUCUUUCCAAAACAAAAUUUUAGAAUUGCUACAAAAAUUAUGUAGUUCACAAUAAAAUAUAAAUUAUGUAUGUGUGUUCUAAUCUUAAUAUACAAAUAAUGGACCGAGAGAAGUUUAAAUACUUGGAACAGUCGGUUGAAGGGAAUGUCAGGCCUGUGGCAGCUUUGGUAAACCAUAUAUUUUAAGGGACUCAAGAAAUCUGAGAUAAGAUCUCCUGGCUCAAAUUCAGAUCCUACCAUGAACUCUCAAGAUAUCCAGAUUUGUACCCAACUGAACACCUGGGACAUAUAAACGGUAGAAGAUUGAGAUACAAUCAAAAAAAAUCUAUAGGGCUCAAAUCUGGACUAUAAAGUGGCCAGUUAACAUUUCCAUUAUUGCCUGUCCAUAUAGGAAAUGCAUUCUUUGAAUAAUUCUGUACGAAUAAGGAGGUGUUCUAUCCUACAUCCAAAUCAUAUGAUCAAGCUGGGUAGGUAUUGGAGCACUUGAGACCAGCCCCUCCACUCCACUUUUCAUAAGUCACGUGACCACGCCUUCUCGCAUAUGAUUGGCUCCUUAUAUGAUAUCUGUAAAAUGAAGCAAAUAAGUUUUGGUAAGAUGGCGCUACUGGUGAAGUAAGAGAUAUGGUAAGAUGGCGCUACCGGUGAACAUGGAAAGAUGGCGGCGGCGGUAUCGUAAGGUUAUGUGCGAAUUUUCGCGUCAACCCGCAGCGUAACGUAAUGGUUCGGGGCUCUUGUAAUUUCGAGGGUAUGAUCAAAUAUAUUUUGCUUUUAACAAUAUGUUAGGUAAUAUUAACCUAAUUUUCUUUUCAAGCGCAGAGGUAGCAAAGCUGCAUGUUUUUCUUAUAGGUUCACCCCAUUCUGCGCAACCAAAAAGCGUUCACCCCUCGUGGAUUCCUUAGCGUUUAUGCAUUGUUCAUCCAUAUAAUAAUAAUAACAGGUAUGUCUUAAUUUACAGAGGAAACAUUAAGGACGUAAUGGCAUUGUACAGAGUGUGUGUAAAAAUCAGAACGAAAUGUAAUGGUAAAUUAUUAUAUAUGAGGUGUAAAAUCGAACGAAAUUUAUCGUAAUGGGACGUUAAAGACAAAUCGUAAUGGUAAAAAAUAAUAUAUUCCAUUGUUAUAAUCUAAAGUAAUAUUAAAAUAAUACACAAAACAGAUUAUUAUGUAUGAGGUGUAAAAUCGGACGAAAUUUAUCGUAAUGGAACGUUAAUUGUAAUUGUAAAAAAAUAAUAUAUUGCAUUGUUAUAAUCUGAAGUAAUAUUAAAAUAAUACACCUUUUUAAAUUGAAAUAUUUUAUUUAUAUAUAAUAGCUCUUAAAAGGUCCAGAGUGUAGAUGAGCAGCCGUGAAAAUAAUACCCUUGAAAUUCAAAGACUAGAUUCCAACGAAACCGUCAAUUUUAACCCCCUAUCGUCUACACCCGUGCACUCUGGACCUUUCAAGAGCGUGGAAUAUUCUAAAUUCAUUGUGGGUGUAAUCAGUAAUUUUGAAUCAAUAAAAUUGUAUCAGGUAUAAUCUAGUAAAUACAAUUGAAAAGACAGGGGCCCAAAAUAUAUAUAUUAAGGUAGAGAGAAGUUUCAAAUUGACAUCCUGUAUAUGAAGAAUAUUCUAAAUUCACUUCUAACAUAUAUCCCCUGUCAAUUAUCCGAUAUUGAGGUGACAUCUAUGUUUGUCUCGAUCCACUCAAAUCCUCCGUAAGGUAGAAAUUCACACAUUGCCAACCGUAUAAGCUAUUUACAUCCAAUUACAUUAAAUAUGUAUCUGCUUUGAAUUAUAUUCGGUAUUUGUUGUUUGCUUAUAUCUAUGAAUCCUAAAAAAUAUUACUUAAAACUUAAGUAUCAUAUGAAUAGCCAAAAACGUUUCUAUUAAAGAUAUUUCUACACAAAAAAUAUAAAAUGUAUAAAAGAUGAUUGGUUCAAAGAAACUAUUAUUAUAUAAAAAUACCUUCCUCUUCUACGUAAUCACGUAUAUCCAUUGUUGUUGUAUCAUCAAUAUCAAAAUAGAAUUUGGUUAUUGAAUCAACAACAACGAUAAAUACCAUUGUAAACAUCAAAACGCCAAAUUUUGCGUUAAAAUGUUCAGUUAAUAGUAUAAUUGGAGAGUACGAGUCGCGUGAUCAGUCAUUUUUUUUAUUAAUUCAUAAUAUACUAACCAAAAAGUUCCAGUAGCAGCAGCAGCUUUACGAUUGGGGUGUCAAAUUGGUUUCGUGGUAGGUGUACUAUGGAAUUGCGUCUUCUUCUUAUGGCAUAGGGUGUGAAUCAAAAAAUAAACAUUCCAGUCCUUCAAAACAUUCUUUACCUAAAACUGAAAUGGUAUACGUGAGAAUAAAUCUCAGUAUGAGUCUUCAUUUCAGUUACGUUAUUACACAUAAAAACCAGUCUCUAGCGAUUGUGCCUACCCCUUGCCAAGGGGUUGGUUACCGCAAUCGUAAAGGAGGUACGAAGGUUUUCUACGCAUAAUAACGUAAAAUAAUAAAUUUAUUUGUUAUUGAAUAUUUAUUAUAAAAUAGAACCAAGUGGAACACGAUGCUCUGAAAAAAAUCACUAUGAUAAUUAUUAUGUAGUUUUUCAUCAUAAUCUAAAUCUACUUCUAAAUUCAAAAUGUAAUUACCUCGUUAACCGCAGCGUUUUUAUGCGGUUAUUAUUGUGAGGAAUGCCAUGUUCCUUAUAACGAAAAAAUGAAACAUCGAUGUGGAGGAACUUGAUCAUAAUCUAAAUUUACUUCUAAAUUCAGAAGACACAAGAGGAGUAUGUCUGUUUUCAUAUUCAUUGCAUUGGUCAAGCGAAUAUAUAUUUAAACUCUUCCAUUCCUUAAUAACAUGAAUAUACUUUUUCAGAUGAAAUAUGUCUGUAAAAAUACUUCGAAAAUCAUAUACAAUUUGGUAUUUGCGAACAAAUAAGACGAUGUGAAGAUUGUUUUAAAAUUCUCCGUUUAAACCGUUAAUAAAGAAAUCAAUGACCCAUGUUGAAAGAUCUUGAAGAAUUCCAAGAACGUGAUAGUGGGUGGGCUUUGAGGAAAAUAAUACCUCUGGAAAUUGCUAUAAAUAAAUUAGAAAUCGGGAAUGGCUUAUCAUAUAUUGAGUUACCAUCAUAAAAAGAAGGAGGCAUGUGUCAAUGUUAAGAACCAUGAUAAUGCAUGCUUCGCCUGGGCAGUGACUUCAGCGUUGUAUCCUAAUAUGUAUCACAGAGAUAGAAUAUCAUCAUAUCCGCAUUACUUGAAAGUUUUGAAUUUGAAGGGAAUUCAAUUCCCUAUGCUCGCUAAGCAAAUAUCUAAUUUCGAAAAACAAAACAACAUUUCUAUUAAUGUUUACAUCCUUCAGAAAAAUAAAAAAUCUUUUGAAACUCUUCCAACUUACCUAACUAAAGAUAAGAAAGAUCAACAUGUAAACCUGCUUCUAAUUCAAAAUUGAUAUGAUGAUACUGAAGGACCAAUUCUUUAUCAUUAUGUAUGGGUCAAGAAUCUGUCCAGUCUACUUUCGAAACAACUAAGUAAAAAAGAUCAUGCAAAAUACUUUUGUGAUUGAAGUCUGCAUUACUUUAUAACUGAAGAAGAAACACUCUUGAUCAAUUUUGGGAAUUAAUCCAUAACUUUGAUCUUCUUAUAUUGAUUUACCUCCACAAAUCAAAAAGAAGGAAGCAUGUAUAAAUGUUAGGAAUGAAGAUCAGGCAUGCUUCGCCUGGGCUGUUCUCUAUCCUGAUGUUCAUAAUACAGAUAGAACUUCAUCAUAUCCCCACUAUUCUUCAGUUUUGAAACUAAAAGCCAUUCAGUUUCCUAUGACAUUAAUAUUUUAACGAAAACAUAAAAAAUGUUUUUAAAACGUUACCAACAUACCAUUCAAAAGAUAAGAAACAUAAACAUGUAAAUUUGUUUUCUAACUCAAGACAGAUAACAUCUAUAUUCUUCAAACGAUUAGUGGUAAACAUUUAAGAUAAAUUGAAUACAAUAUUUUAUAAGAUAAAAAUGUUUGAUUCUAUUUAAGACAUUUUACAAAAUGGAUGCAAUUGUAAUGCUACCAAGUUUCUGCAACAAAGUUCUUCCUCAGAAAAUUCCUAAAACCGAAAGAGGAUACAGAUUCAAAGACAAUCAAUCGAAAAUAUCUCUUCGGUUACCCCGUUUUGGUAGGAAACAAACACUCUCUUGUAGUUCGAUGAAAAUUGAUGGUUUCGUUGGAAUCUAGUCUUUGAAUUUCAAGGGUGUUAUUUACACGGUUGCCCUCGCAUACAUAUAGAAAACAUGUAACCCUAACUUAUCCUACUUUAAAAUUCGUGUAUACAUAAAACUUAUCCUAAUUGUUUAAAUAAAACUGGGUUAAAAUUGGUGUAUGGAUAAAAAAAGUUUUGUAUAAAUAAAAGAUUAAAAUUAUGUAUAUAUAAAAAGCUAAAAAUUCAAGAACUUUUAUAAAUAAAAUCGAUAAAAAAAUAA